RNAcentral lists this long non-coding RNA (1345 nucleotides) under Calidris pugnax (ruff). Its description in RNAcentral is "lncRNA (ENSCPUG00000002869.1)". Lineage: Eukaryota; Metazoa; Chordata; Aves; Charadriiformes; Scolopacidae. The record is from RNAcentral.
GGCAGAAGUGGAACUUGUGAAUUUGGGCACGACUGCUCCCGGAGGGCAAAAGUCUACAAGCCAUCACCCUGCUCUGCUGCUGCUACAACCUACUGCUGGGGCUCCGCCUGCACGUGCUUCCAGAGGCAGCAACCCAGUCUUCAUCCAGAUUUUCGGCUGUGCUGCUCCCGAUUUCUCUGCUGUGCCAGGGAUGGAAAAUGUAACAUUUUUUUAUUUGUUCGCUUCACACCUCCUGCGUUUCCCUCUGAACAGAGGGCUCCUUUCUUGAGCAACAGUGAAAGCAAACCGCUAUCACAAAGCAAACUUGGGGCCCUGGAAUAUAAAACCGCUCCCUGCAAUAUUUAAAUUCCUUUGAAAACCAUCCUCUGCCAUAUGUCUAUAAACACUGUCCAGCUGCAACGAGCUUCUAGAUUCUUGGAGACCAUCUGAAUUUAGCAAAGAAAUAACAAUACUGUGUGCCGAGAUUGGAGUCAAUUGCCAUUUUAAACCUUUCAUGUGGAUCUUCAGAUAAUUUUUAUUCUUUUUCUGUUGGUGAUGGUUCAGUAGAACUGGGAACAAAGGUGUAAUAUACUUUUUCUUAAAUGAGAUUCAUCGUUCUAAAUAGUUAUAUGAAAAUUAUUGGGUUUAUUACAGGACUUAGAAUAUGAUUGUGCAGUUUAAAAGGCUGACAUUUAAGUUUAAUGUCAUUACUCCUGUCACAUAGUCUGGCUAAUGUGUGUGUUCCAGCAGUUCAGCAUCGCAUUCCUGAUCCCUUCUCUUAGCAAACAACUAAGAGAGAAGAUCCAGAGCUCUCGUUGCAAGAAAACAGACCUUCCUUUACCUAAAGGAGAAAAAAAAAAAACUGUAAUGGUUUUUAUCCUGAAAGUGUGACGCGUACACAGGGGUUUGUAAGCUUCUCCUACACCUUACACCAUGCUGCUUCUGUUGGUUAAUGCUUUUGGCUGCCCAGUGUCACCGUGACCCCGCACAACGCUGUCAAACACCGACUUUUCAUGUAAUUUUAAAACUCAAAUUACUUUACGGACCUCGUGUAAGUCCUUCUGCUCAAUCAGCUUUAUCGCUUGGUUUACAAACAUUUUGGAUCUAAUACAUGAAUGUAUAAUGCGCUGAGUUGCUUGUAUUAUUCCAUUACCAGAAACCACAGGGCAUUUAUUAUAUUAAAAUACAAUACUCAACACUUCACUCUUAAGUCCAAAGUCAGAACCGCAGUUUAAAUAUCUUCUCCCCCCCAUAUUUAUCAUAGAAACUAGCAGAACUUUUACACUUUUAAAUGCCUAACAGGUAUUUGUUUGUAAACUUCCACAGCCAAGCAUUAAGAUUGCCUGCAGCAUAAUGCCAGCUGUCA